This 521-nucleotide ribosomal RNA is filed under the name uncultured bacterium. Its description in RNAcentral is "bacterial SSU rRNA". It matches the Rfam family "Bacterial small subunit ribosomal RNA", at positions 355 to 885 of the family's 1533-position model. The record is from RNAcentral.
UGGGGAAUAUUGCGCAAUGGGCGGAAGCCUGACGCAGCGACGCCGCGUGGGGGAUGACGGCCUUCGGGUUGUAAACCUCUUUCGGCCCCGACGAAGCGUGAGUGACGGUAGGGGUAGAAGAAGCACCGGCCAACUACGUGCCAGCAGCCGCGGUAACACGUAGGGUGCGAGCGUUGUCCGGAAUUAUUGGGCGUAAAGAGCUCGUAGGCGGUGUGUCGCGUCGGCCGUGAAAACCUGCAGCUUAACUGUGGGCUUGCGGUCGAUACGGGCAUCACUGGAGUUCGGCAGGGGAGACUGGAAUUCCUGGUGUAGCGGUGAAAUGCGCAGAUAUCAGGAGGAACACCGGUGGCGAAGGCGGGUCUCUGGGCCGAUACUGACGCUGAGGAGCGAAAGCGUGGGGAGCGAACAGGAUUAGAUACCCUGGUAGUCCACGCCGUAAACGUUGGGCGCUAGGUGUGGGGGCCAUUCCACGGUCUCUGUGCCGUAGCUAACGCAUUAAGCGCCCCGCCUGGGGAGUACGG